GCCUUACACCCAUUACAGCCUAGGAGCGGAGGCCCUGUGCACCGCCGUCCCGGGGUGGACUAGAAGCGGGGGUCUUCACUUUCCCUUUCACAGACGGAAACAGUCUCUGAGUUCAUGCUGGAGAAGCGGUAGCACACGGCCAGGUUGGCCUCUAACCUGAGAUCGGCCUGUCUCAGCCUCCCAGUGCCUUAGAGUGAUAGGCGUGGGCCCACACAGGCUACCUUAACUAAACUCCCUGCGGACCCACCUGCACACUGCGUGCUACCGCGUCUGCAGCUUGCGCCUCCUCGGUACCGGGACCAUGCGGACGUGCGCAGGAGGUUCUGGGCCUGAGCAGGGCACGCGCGUCCCCACCUUCCCACCAGUUCAUCCCCCUCACCCUGCAGAAGGACAGAGGGCACCUGGGUCUGUGCAGGCACAGGCAGCACCUGCACACAGAACUGCCCCAGCCCAGCCACGCAUUCCUUAGGCCAUGUCCCGGCGUUAAGCAAAGAAUGAUGCAGAGCCCAUUAAAGCACUCGUUAAAAAGAAGAAAGGGAAGAAGAACCCAGCAGGCGUGUGUGCUGACCCGGAGCGGGCAGGCGCCACAGCACUCGGUACACAGGCACCCCAAACCUCAGUUUGGCAAUCCGUCCCUGCUCCAGCCUGGUCCUCAGCUCCAGCUCUCUGCUGUGCCAGCAGGGCUCUCAGCCUCCCUGAAGAAGCAAGCGCUGCCUUCUUCCAGGCCCCAGCACAGCUGUCCUGGGCCUCUCCUCCCUCCAGGUGAGUCUCCCAUCUCUCCCAGCCCCAGGCCAUUGGCACUGAGCAGUCAGGUUCCGGGCCUGGCUGAUCUGCUCUGAACAGAA
Long non-coding RNA from Fukomys damarensis (Damara mole-rat), 845 nucleotides. RefSeq lists it as uncharacterized. The record is from RefSeq and is a predicted model, not a curated record. The transcript has 3 exons. Lineage: Eukaryota; Metazoa; Chordata; Mammalia; Rodentia; Bathyergidae.